GUGGGGAAUUUUGGACAAUGGGCGCAAGCCUGAUCCAGCAAUGCCGCGUGCAGGAAGAAGGCCUUCGGGUUGUAAACUGCUUUUGUACGGAACGAAACGGUCCUGGUUAAUACCUGGGGCUAAUGACGGUACCGUAAGAAUAAGCACCGGCUAACUACGUGCCAGCAGCCGCGGUAAUACGUAGGGUGCGAGCGUUAAUCGGAAUUACUGGGCGUAAAGCGUGCGCAGGCGGUGCUGUAAGACAGGCGUGAAAUCCCCGGGCUCAACCUGGGAAUUGCGCUUGUGACUGCAGUGCUGGAGUACGGCAGAGGGGGAUGGAAUUCCGCGUGUAGCAGUGAAAUGCGUAGAUAUGCGGAGGAACACCGAUGGCGAAGGCAAUCCCCUGGACCUGUACUGACGCUCAUGCACGAAAGCGUGGGGAGCAAACAGGAUUAGAAACCCCUGUAGUCC
Molecule: ribosomal RNA, 450 nt
Filed under: uncultured bacterium
Lineage: Bacteria
Description: partial 16S ribosomal RNA
Rfam family: Bacterial small subunit ribosomal RNA
Source: RNAcentral